UUAUCCGAUCUCUUAUUAAUAGGGACGAGCAACUUCGAGCAGUUGUGUAUAUAUGUGCAUUCAAGUUGGAAGAUGCUUUCCCACCAGUUCCCUUACUGAAAUCCCAUUUGGAAUGCAUCCAGAAGAGAGUGCAGGAAAUGCUCAGAAAUGGCAGUGAUACAGCUCAGAAUGACGCUGUCAAUAUGGAAAUAUCUGCCCUCAGAGUCUUAAUCAACUGCAUUUCCAAUUUCAAGCUUGAGUCCAGUUUUUCACCAGCUCCUCUGGAAUUGCGCAUAAAGCAAUUAGAGAAGGAGAUAGAAGGAAAGGCGAGUGCUGAAAGCUAAUGACAAUAAAGAAGAAUCAAAGUAUAGGUUAUUAACGCUACAUAUUAUGCCGCUGAAUUCAGUAAUAGGAUUGUCCAAGAAGCCGGGGAGUCUAUCAGAUUGCUUAGUUAAGGGGUUUGAUACGAUUUAACGAGGGAGUAUAUCCACCACAGUCUACAAGUUAGAGUAAAUCAUUGUUGAUUGAGGAAAUUAAAGGAUAUAAAGGGGUGGUUUUUUGGUUACGCUUGGACCUCAAAAGUUGUAUUAGAGGGAUUUUUAUUGAUACAAUUGAUAAGUUGUAUGAUGAUUAUCUCGAUGUUGUGAUGCAUUAUUAUUAUUUACUAUAGCUCGUCGAUGGCAACGGACAAAGUAAGGACUAGAAAUCAAGGCGAGCCAAUGCUUCGAGACAGCUUACAUUGAUGUGCUGAUUUCACCGGUACUCAAACAAGAAUCUCCGUUAAUUUUUGUUGGUCUAAACUUUAUACUUCGUAAUAUGGAGUAUGUAUUUAUAAGGUUGUGUUUAGUUUACUUCAUUUUUGCAUAUUUGAUUUGAUUUUUUUUUUAGACCUGAUUGUCUGAUUAGACUAAUUAUAACGUAAAAAAAAAAUUAAAAAAAAAAAAAUCUGCCGAAACCCACCGUUCUAGCCAAGCCCACCUACCGAAAUCCACCAUUUUUCCAUGCCCAGCCACCGAAACAUAAAAGACUUGGAGCAGCAACAAUCAAGUAAUCAACUAUGAAAGUGAUGCCUUCUUAAUUUUUUUUUUUUCUUUUAGAAAUGCAAUAAAAAAAUCCCCUCAAAAAAGAAAUGCAAUAAAAAAAUAAAGAGUAUGUGAAAUUGUGAAUGGUCGAAUUGAGGAAAAGGUGUUAUAGAUAUGGUGGGGGUAGACAAAGGUAAAGCAUAUUAAUUACAGCAAUUAAUUAAUUAAAAUUCUAAUUCCUUAAAAAUAGUAAGAAGGUAAGGCUACAGCCUGCGAUUAAAGUCAAGAGGCCUCAUAGCAAAACAAAACCAACACUUCCAAAAUCAUUUAAGUAAAACAAAGGCAAAAAAGCUCCGAUCAGCUUCUAACAACAAUGGAGAUUCCUUUUGAUUGUCAUUCUGGAAAGUUGUUUAGGAGAUGGUAAGGGGGAUAGAUAAAGAUGAAAAAUAAAAGAAAAAGAAUGAAAAAAAAA
This is a long non-coding RNA of Chenopodium quinoa (quinoa), 1473 nucleotides long. RefSeq lists it as uncharacterized. The record is from RefSeq and is a predicted model, not a curated record. NCBI's taxonomy places the organism in Eukaryota, Viridiplantae, Streptophyta, Magnoliopsida, Caryophyllales, Amaranthaceae. The transcript has 2 exons.